This 712-nucleotide ribosomal RNA is filed under the name Embleya scabrispora. RNAcentral describes it as "bacterial SSU rRNA". It matches the Rfam family "Bacterial small subunit ribosomal RNA", at positions 55 to 784 of the family's 1533-position model. Lineage: Bacteria; Bacillati; Actinomycetota; Actinomycetes; Kitasatosporales; Streptomycetaceae. The record is from RNAcentral.
AUGCAAGUCGAACGCUGAAGCCCUUCGGGGUGGAUGAGUGGCGAACGGGUGAGUAACACGUGGGCAACCUGCCCUGCACUCUGGGAUAACUUCGGGAAACCGGAGCUAAUACCGGAUAACAUCCUCCUCCGCAUGGUGGGGGGUUGAAAGUUCCGGCGGUGCAGGAUGGGCCCGCGGCCUAUCAGCUUGUUGGUGGGGUAGUGGCCUACCAAGGCGACGACGGGUAGCCGGCCUGAGAGGGCGACCGGCCACACUGGGACUGAGACACGGCCCAGACUCCUACGGGAGGCAGCAGUGGGGAAUAUUGCGCAAUGGGCGAAAGCCUGACGCAGCGACGCCGCGUGAGGGAUGACGGCCUUCGGGUUGUAAACCUCUUUCAGCAGGGAAGAAGCGAAAGUGACGGUACCUGCAGAAGAAGCACCGGCUAACUACGUGCCAGCAGCCGCGGUAAUACGUAGGGUGCGAGCGUUGUCCGGAAUUAUUGGGCGUAAAGAGCUCGUAGGCGGCCUGUCGCGUCGGAUGUGAAAACUCGGGGCUUAACCCCGAGCCUGCAUUCGAUACGGGCAGGCUAGAGUUCGGCAGGGGAGACUGGAAUUCCUGGUGUAGCGGUGAAAUGCGCAGAUAUCAGGAGGAACACCGGUGGCGAAGGCGGGUCUCUGGGCCGAUACUGACGCUGAGGAGCGAAAGCGUGGGGAGCGAACAGGAUUAGAUA